Molecule: long non-coding RNA, 4080 nt
Organism: Bombyx mori (domestic silkworm)
Lineage: Eukaryota; Metazoa; Arthropoda; Insecta; Lepidoptera; Bombycidae
Exons: 2
Source: RefSeq, a predicted model, not a curated record
AAAAUUUGGUGAUAAAAUUAAUAAGCUCAUUGGAGUGUCGGUUAUUCUAAAAUUCGUUAUUCAAAUGUUGAAACCAAUAUAUAGGUAUAUUUCGGCGUUUGGCAUAAUCCUUUGUCAAGCCUAGGAUGGCUUAGUAAUUCUGCGAAGAGAAAUAUCGGGCUUUGACUUUGAUUAAAACAAACAAGCUGUCCAGUGCAUUUCCUUUAUAGCGACGAUUCAAGGGAACUUCACAACCAUAGACACAGCCCACUGAGUUCCUUGCCGGAUUUUCUCAGUGAAUCGCGAUUCCGGUCAGGUAGUAGAUUCUGGGAAGCACUGCUCUUGCUGGGGCUAGUGUUAGCUAAUUCUCUCAGGCUCAGCCCGUGAGAUCACCUACCCAUCCGCGAGAAGCUGGAAUAGCCUCUUAGGCUACCAGAGAAAAGGCAGAGAAAAAUACCUUCACAGUAUAGAUGCUGUAUUGGCAAGUUGUAUUAAGCGGAAAUAGGUUAAUAGUACAAAGUCAAGAGCAACUUUAUAAACAAUUUCUAAUUUAAUGCAUAUUAAUAGUUCGUUAUCGCCGUUAAUUAGUGUUCGGAGCCCAUAGACAUCACGAGUAAUUCACCUAUCUUGAAACGUGAGGCUGAUGUAUUCAUUAUAUUAUUUAAGAGCUAUUCCGCUCUUCAAACCAGAACGCACUCUUGUUUCGUGGGCGAAAUAGGCAAGAUGGUGAUAUAUGUAUCUAUCAGUGUGGCCAUACAUUACGUCUCACACCUAUAUAGAUGUGUUAAAAUAUAUACAUGUGAUAUAACAUUUUCUUUACAAACGUGUCUUUUCUUAACUUGUUUUUGGUUUUUUAUUUGGUAAAUUCGUUAACAUUUGUCUACGUAAAGACGUUCACUAUAAUUGUACGCUUCCGCAACAACGGUAUAUUUUCAUCAAUAACAUGUUCUUCGCAGAUUAACAUAACAAAAACGCAUACCGUGUGAAAGUAUAUAAGUAAACAGACCCUGCCACCGAAAUACACGACGAUUAUCGUCCUCAAUAAUUUGACUUCAGUUAUGACUGCGUACAUUCCCACCGUCCGUGAUUUCUCCCCUAAUUUACAGGUAAAAGCAGAUAUAAGGCAAGACGUUCGAGGGGACGAAAUCAAUGGAAAUAAAGAAACAGGGUGCCAUUGUGUGCGUUUACGCAAGAGACCACGUGCGCGAUCGUUCCCACGAUAUUUAUUCAAGAGACCCGGGAAACAUAUAUAAAGGGUGUGUGGACUUCAUAACGGACCACUUCCGAAUUUACCGAGCUAUAGUACGUUACGCCCGGGGGACCGAGCCCGCGGCCCCCCGGGCUUGAAGCUAUCAAGUCUAAUUAAAAGUUGUCAUUUGUCAUUAAGUUGCUAAUUAACGGAAAAACGGUUUCAACUGUGAACAAUGACGCCACCGGAAGACCCUUUGAAGUGGAUCGGAAGUCCGUCGGAAAAUUUUCGAUAUUUCAAACAAUUGCUUUGUGCAUGUUAUAUAAUAUAUGAAAAACAAAAUUGAAAACAAAACUAUGGUGAGCCUCAGAAGCCGUUGCAUUAUUGCGAUGAAUGCGGCGAGACGUAGCAGGAUACAUUUUCAGGACAAUUUGAACAAAGAGACCAUUGGAGCGGUAGCUAAGUAGAAUUUACUACAUCUUAGACUUCCCAAAGAUAGUUUAGGCUUAGUUAGGUCUUAGUUUAAGCUUUCGCGUUACGUCUUAGAAAUAGAUUCUGUACCAUUAUGUGAAUCUUAUAAGUUGAAGUACAUCAAAUAAGUUAUGCAUUUCUGUGUCAAUAAUAUUUUAAACUUCGGUUCGAAUGUUUUAAAUCUAAAUAGCCUUAAUGAUCGGUGUUGUUUGUUUUGUUCAAGUUAAAGUUUCAUGUUUUUGUUUCACAUUAAUGUUAUGCGUUUGGAAUGAAUGUUUGUUUGUUGUUCAGUUUGUUUUGCAUUCCAACAAACUAGUUAAUUUUGCAUUCAGAGUAUACGAAAGCUGUUAUUAUUGUCUGUUUACUUUGCUUUUGAUUUACUUAUAUAAAUUAUCACCACGUCAAACUGAUUAAAGUUUAAAAUUUAAAAUAAUAUCACUCGGACCGCGGGGUACAAAUGUUUAACUUUAAAUUUUUUGUUAUUAGCUAGCUGUUGUGUUCAAGUUUGUCGCGUUGUUUUUUUUUGUUUUUUGUUUUGUUAACGUUAAUUUUGCAUUUUGUUUCUGUUAAAUUUUACAGCCGAAAAGAAUUCGUUAAGUUCACAAACACCUUGUUUUCACAAACUGUUACAUUUAAAUUUGUUCGUAGUAUUUGGAUUUUUGAUUGGUCUUGUUGGAGUGGACUUAUUACAACGAAACCGUUUCUUUAAUGUUAUUAGCUGAAGUUAUCCGUUUUAAAUUGUUGAAUUUUCGUUUGUAAAUUAUUGUUGAUUUAUUUGUUUAAACUAAAGUUGAGUUUUUGUUUGGUUAUUCGUGCUUCGUUCGUUUUGUUAACGCGUCAGACUUUUGAAGUAUUUGUGUUAUGCUAGCAUACGUUUUUCGCGACACCGUUUGUUAUUCUGAUUACCGAAUAUUAACGCUUCCUACGUUAAAACAAAGAUGAUUAUACGUAAAUUAUAAUUUGCGUAAUUACUGGUGGUAGGACCUCUUGUGAGUCCGCGCGGGUAGGUACCACCGCCCCGCCUAUUUCUGCCGUGAAGCAGUAAUGCGUUUCGGCUUGAAGGGUCGGGCAGCCGUUGUAACUAUACUGAGAUCUUAGAACUUAUAUCUCAAGGUGGGUGACGUAUUUAAGUUGUCUGUCUAUGGGCUCCAGUAACCACUUAACACCAGGUGGGCUGUGAGUUCGUCCACCCAUCAUAAAGCAAAAAAAAAACGUAUCGUGUACGUAAUAAACUAACUAAAAGAAACUUUUUUUUUGUGAAAACAGCAUCGACACUUAUGUUAAAAUGCUAACGUGCUAAUGACGUAAUAUUUUUUUAUAGUGUGGAUUCACAAACCACUGUAUGUAUCAUUUUUAUCAUCCUUGCCUGAAUACCAAAUUAAUUCCAAUUCCAACUUAGUAAUUUCGAAACUGCUUAAAUACGGCGGGCUGUUUAAUACGGAUUCGUCUGAAGAAAUUUUCUUUCUUAGGUCCCAAACCUCUAUUCUAGAAUUCGGAUAAUAUCACUUUUUACUAUGAACAAUUAAAAAAGUAAUCAAUUUUUUCUCCACUAGAGUAAUUCAAAUUUAUGAUCCAUUUUUCUUUCUUUUUCAAAAAUAUUACCAAAUGAUGUAUCGAAAAAUUGUAGUUUUUAAUCCUUCUAUGAAAGUAUGCAUUUCUGUUACACAUUAUACUAUGAAGUUAUGAAAAAUCGAUAUCGUUUUGACACGCAAAUAAUUUUGAACAGAACAUAUUCAAGUUUACCGAAGUGUGCCUUAAAGCUAAAUAUGCCUAAAACUAUUUUUUGAUCCUUUUGCGCCUCCUUACAAGGUUCUAGUAUCUACGAGAACCUUGUAAAGACGUUUUGUUGAUUUGAAAUUACCUUAGGGUAUUUUUAUUUAAGUCUAUCUGCCUGUUAACUGUGAUGACAGCCUAAUGAUUAUUUUCUUCCUUGGAUAUUAGCUCUAGUUUGAGAGUUUCUCUCUGUUUUAACUUUAAAAUUAUAGCAAUAGUUUUAAACUAGGUACGUAGAGUUCAAUACACUUAAUUCGCAGUUCACAAAUUCACAUAAGCUCCGGGAACAAAAUAUUCAUUACAACUCAUCAUAAAUUGUUCACUGUUCAGUUUUCUGUUUGUUAACGUUAUUUAGUUGUAAGCGUUGAAUUAUUGUUAAGUUUGGAUUGUGAUAUUAUCGUUAAAUCAUUUCGAUGGCUGUGUUCGUUAGUUUUACGUUAAGUUUUCGUUUUGACUGUUGAUUUGUUGUUGUUAUGCCGACAUUAAGGCCACAAUACUGACCUCUCUUGUACUAUAUUUUAAUGCUAAGUGUAGUUUAAGUAUUUUAAGUUCUAGUUGAAACUGAAGCUUGAGUAAAAUUAACGUGUUAGUUAGUAUGAUAGUAAGAUGAAUAGAGAUGUUUGAUUGUAAUCGUGUGUUUGUGUGAAAUAUAAAUUAAAAACAGCCAA